GAGUUUCUGCUUUACUGGCGGACAAUCUGGCUGUAGUGGUAGCUUGUGGACAACAAUAUCAGUAUCUAAACCUGGCAUAUCCUGAUACGACCAAGCAAAUACAUCUACAUAUUCUUGCAGCAACUCGAUCAAUCUUUCUUUGAUGCUUGCCCCAAGUGUAGUCCCAACUUUGAUCUCUUUCUUGUCUUCCUCAGUGCCAAGGUUGAUUGUUUCCACUGGUUCUUGGUGCGACUGAAGGGCCUUUGACUCGUGCUC
Molecule: long non-coding RNA, 255 nt
Filed under: Lathyrus oleraceus (garden pea)
Lineage: Eukaryota; Viridiplantae; Streptophyta; Magnoliopsida; Fabales; Fabaceae
Description: Pisum sativum (pea) long non-coding RNA (PSAT_LNC021107)
Source: RNAcentral